RNAcentral lists this ribosomal RNA (471 nucleotides) under uncultured bacterium. Its description in RNAcentral is "partial 16S ribosomal RNA". It matches the Rfam family "Bacterial small subunit ribosomal RNA", at positions 29 to 507 of the family's 1533-position model. The record is from RNAcentral.
CACGAACGCUGGCGGCGUGCUUAACACAUGCAAGUCGAACGAUGAAGCCUAGCUUGCUAGGUGGAUUAGUGGCGAACGGGUGAGUAAUACGUGAGUGACCUACCUUUGACUCUGGGAUAAGCCUGGGAAACUGGGUCUAAUACCGGAUACGACCAAUCUCCGCAUGGGGUGUUGGUGGAAAGCGUUAUGGAGUGGUUUUAGAUGGGCUCACGGCCUAUCAGCUUGUUGGUGAGGUAAUGGCUUACCAAGGCGACGACGGGUAGCCGGCCUGAGAGGGUGACCGGCCACACUGGGACUGAGACACGGCCCAGACUCCUACGGGAGGCAGCAGUGGGGAAUAUUGCACAAUGGGCGCAAGCCUGAUGCAGCGACGCCGCGUGAGGGAUGACGGCCUUCGGGUUGUAAACCUCUGUUAGCAUCGAAGAAGCGAAAGUGACGGUAGGUGCAGAGAAAGCGCCGGCUAACUACGUG